Sphaeramia orbicularis (orbiculate cardinalfish) is the source of this 365-nucleotide long non-coding RNA. RefSeq lists it as uncharacterized. Lineage: Eukaryota; Metazoa; Chordata; Actinopteri; Kurtiformes; Apogonidae. The transcript is spliced from 2 exons. The record is from RefSeq and is a predicted model, not a curated record.
GAGAGAAAGCCCUGCAGUGUGUGUGAGACAAGAGACAAUUUCACAAAGGGCUCUCAGUUAUGGUCACCAGUAGGUACGAUGUAACACCACACUGCUAGUUUUCAGCAUGAAAAUAACUUAACCCGUGAGCUGUAAUCAUGAGUUACAGUUCUUUUCGGAUGAAGGAAAGAUCCAUUGUCAGUGCGCUGUCAGAGGGUGAAGGUGGGCUUUCAGUUCGCCUCUCAUUUGGGAGGAAUGAAUCAUUGCCAACAUGUUUUUGACAGCUAGGCAACACCAAACAGGAAGACUCCAAACAAAUAACACCAGUGAAGAAGAAGUGCUGCUGCCCCGCUGCUGACGAAACACUGCCACCUCCUGGACAACAU